UGGGGAAUCUUGCACAAUGGGGGCAACCCUGAUGCAGCGACGCCGCGUGAGCGAUGAAGCCCUUCGGGGCGUAAAGCUCUUUCGACCGGAACGAUAAUGACGGUACCGGGAGAAGAAGCUGCGGCUAACUACGUGCCAGCAGCCGCGGUAAUACGUAGGCAGCAAGCGUUGUUCGGAGUUACUGGGCGUAAAGAGUGCGUAGGCGGUUUUCUAAGUUCGGUGUGAAAUCUCCCGGCUUAACUGGGAGGGUGCGCCGAAGACUGGGAAGCUGGAGUGUGGGAAAGGCAGGCGGAAUUCCUGGUGUAGCGGUGAAAUGCGUAGAUAUCAGGAGGAACACCGGCGGUGUAGACGGCUUGCUAGACCACAACUGACGCUGAGGCACGAAAGCGUGGGUAGCAAACA
This 402-nucleotide ribosomal RNA is filed under the name uncultured bacterium. RNAcentral describes it as "bacterial SSU rRNA". It matches the Rfam family "Bacterial small subunit ribosomal RNA", at positions 355 to 774 of the family's 1533-position model. The record is from RNAcentral.